GCCGAAGUGGCGGAAUUGGCAGACGCGCUGGAUUCAAAAUCCAGUGAAGGCAACUUCUUGAGGGUUCAACUCCCUCCUUCGGCA
RNAcentral lists this transfer RNA (84 nucleotides) under Parcubacteria group bacterium. RNAcentral describes it as "tRNA-Leu". It matches the Rfam family "tRNA". From Rfam's summary of the family: Transfer RNA (tRNA) molecules are approximately 80 nucleotides in length. Their secondary structure includes four short double-helical elements and three loops (D, anti-codon, and T loops). RNAcentral also lists the same sequence under 1 other name. The record is from RNAcentral.